GGGGGGGGGGGGGGGGGGGGGGUGGGGGGGGGGGGGGGGGGGGGGCGGGGGUGCGGGGACGUGGUGGCGGGUGGCGAGGGGGGGGGUAGUGCAUGGGAGCGUGUCGUGUAGUGGGGGCUCGCCCGGCGCAAGCCGGAUUAAUACGGGAUACGAUCUAGGGAUGGAAGCGGGGGACCUUAGGGACUGGCGCGAACAGGGUGGCCGAUGGCUGAUGAGCUAGUGGGUUGGGUAAAGGCCUACCAAGGCGACGCUCAGUCGCUGGUCUGAUAGGACGACCAGCCACACUGGGACUGAGACACGGCCCAGACUCCUACGGGAGGCAGCAGUGGGGAAUUUUGGACAAUGGGCGAAAGCCUGAUCCAGCAAUGCCGCGUGUGUGAAGAAGGCCUUCGGGUUGUAAAGCACUUUUGUCCGGAAAGAAAUCCUUGGCCCUAAUACGGUCGGGGGAUGACGGUACCGGAAGAAUAAGCACCGGCUAACUACGUG
This 486-nucleotide ribosomal RNA is filed under the name uncultured bacterium. RNAcentral's name for it is "partial 16S ribosomal RNA". It matches the Rfam family "Bacterial small subunit ribosomal RNA", at positions 39 to 507 of the family's 1533-position model. The record is from RNAcentral.